CAUGAACCACCACGUCUGAACCAUCGCCAAUAUAAAGCCAAGCUAAUAUAUAGUUUUUAUCACGUUACUGAUUUUCUAGUAGUCAGGUUUUAUAUAUACGUCCGUGGUUUAAGACGAUGACGAGGUUGGUGAGUACGGUUCUUUUCCCUCGUGUUAAGCGUUCCAAGUGUCGUUAGACAGUAUCAACUAAGUCACAGAUCCAGCUCACCUUAGGGGUUCCAC
This 222-nucleotide ribosomal RNA is filed under the name Triticum aestivum (bread wheat). Its description in RNAcentral is "partial small subunit ribosomal RNA". Lineage: Eukaryota; Viridiplantae; Streptophyta; Magnoliopsida; Poales; Poaceae. The record is from RNAcentral.